UACGGAGGAUGCGAGCGUUAUCCGGAUUUAUUGGGUUUAAAGGGUGCGUAGGCGGACUGUCAAGUCAGCGGUAAAAUUGAGAGGCUCAACCUCUUCCCGCCGUUGAAACUGGUGGUAUUGAGUGGAUGAGAAGUACGCGGAAUGCGUGGUGUAGCGGUGAAAUGCAUAGAUAUCACGCAGAACUCCGAUUGCGAAGGCAGCGUACCGGCAUCCAACUGACGCUGAGGCACGAAAGCGUGGGGAUCAAACAGG
RNAcentral lists this ribosomal RNA (252 nucleotides) under uncultured bacterium. Its description in RNAcentral is "partial 16S ribosomal RNA". It matches the Rfam family "Bacterial small subunit ribosomal RNA", at positions 524 to 776 of the family's 1533-position model. The record is from RNAcentral.